AUUGAACGCUGGCGGCAUGCUUUACACAUGCAAGUCGAACGGUAACAGGCCGCAAGGUGCUGACGAGUGGCGAACGGGUGAGUAAUGCAUCGGAACGUGCCCAGUCGUGGGGGAUAACUACUCGAAAGAGUAGCUAAUACCGCAUACGAGCUAUGGAUGAAAGCGGGGGGCCGUAAGGGCUCGCGCGAGUGGUGCGGCCGAUGUCAGAUUAGGUAGUUGGUGGGGUAAGGGCUCACCAAGCCAACGAUCUGUAGCUGGUCUGAGAGGACGACCAGCCACACUGGGACUGAGACGCGGCCCAGACUCCUACGGGAGGCAGCAGUGGGGAAUUUUGGACAAUGGGCGCAAGCCUGAUCCAGCAAUGCCGCGUGCAGGAAGAAGGCCUUCGGGUUGUAAACUGCUUUUGUACGGAACGAAACGGCUCUGGUUAAUACCCGGGGCUAAUGACGGUACCGUAAGAAUAAGCACCGGCUAACUACGUG
This 482-nucleotide ribosomal RNA is filed under the name uncultured bacterium. RNAcentral's name for it is "partial 16S ribosomal RNA". It matches the Rfam family "Bacterial small subunit ribosomal RNA", at positions 30 to 507 of the family's 1533-position model. The record is from RNAcentral.